RNAcentral lists this ribosomal RNA (467 nucleotides) under uncultured bacterium. Its description in RNAcentral is "partial 16S ribosomal RNA". It matches the Rfam family "Bacterial small subunit ribosomal RNA", at positions 29 to 507 of the family's 1533-position model. The record is from RNAcentral.
ACGAACGCUGGCGGCGUGCUUCACCCAUGCCAGUCGCACGGAAAGGCCCUGCUUUUGUGGGGUGCUCGAGUGGCGAACGGGUGAGUAACACGUGAGCAACCUGCCCUUGACUUUGGGAUAACUUCAGGAAACUGGGGCUAAUACCGGAUAGGAGCUCCUGCUGCAUGGUGGGGGUUGGAAAGUUUCGGCGGUUGGGGAUGGACUCGCGGCUUAUCAGCUUGUUGGUGGGGUAGUGGCUUACCAAGGCUUUGACGGGUAGCCGGCCUGAGAGGGUGACCGGCCACAUUGGGACUGAGAUACGGCCCAGACUCCUACGGGAGGCAGCAGUGGGGAAUAUUGCACAAUGGGCGGAAGCCUGAUGCAGCAACGCCGCGUGCGGGAUGACGGCCUUCGGGUUGUAAACCGCUUUCGCCUGUGACGAAGCGUGAGUGACGGUAAUGGGUAAAGAAGCACCGGCUAACUACGUG